RNAcentral lists this ribosomal RNA (253 nucleotides) under uncultured bacterium. RNAcentral describes it as "partial 16S ribosomal RNA". It matches the Rfam family "Bacterial small subunit ribosomal RNA", at positions 57 to 305 of the family's 1533-position model. The record is from RNAcentral.
GCAAGUCGAGGGGGAACAGAGAUAGCUUGCUAUCUGCUGACGACCGGCGCACGGGUGCGUAACGCGUAUAGAACCUACCUUUUACCGGGGGUUACCCCAGAGAAAUUUGGAUUAAUACCUCAUAGUAUUGUCAGAUGGCAUCAUUUGACACUUAAACAUUUAUGGGUAAAAGAUGACUAUGCGUUCUAUUAGUUAGUUGGUAAGGUAACGGCUUACCAAGACAUCGAUAGAUAGGGGUCCUGAGAGGGAGACC